UAUAGCUUUAAAUCUAGCCUUUUUUAAUUUCACUUUGCUUAUUUUUUCCUUUUUAUAUCCUACAUGUAUUUUUUGGUAUUUUUUAAGACAAAUCGAACAAAAAGUAUAUUUGUAGUACAUAUUUUGGUGUAUCAUGGUAUUUUAGAAUUUAUUUAUGGUUUAUUUUCGUUGAAAAGUUUCGGUCUAUACAGAAACUUGGUUGGUGAUCGUGAAAUGUGUAAAUGUGUAAAACAUGCCAAAAACAGUUUACAAACAAAACUUUCAUCGACAAGCAUCGAUUUCCUCAAAAAUAAAAUAAUACCGCCUGAUGCAAAGAUUGAUGUCUUGAAAGAUGACUUGGAUGAAUUUGCUGUGUCUUCAUUAUAUAUGGGAUAUUUAUUUGAAAAGGAAAUUAAAGAGAAAAAUUAUAAUAAUGAAGUUAACGAAAUCAGAGAGAUGUGCAAGGAUUUUAUAAAGGAGCUAAUUAUCCAACUCAGAGAAAGACUUCCAGAUAAUUUUGAGACAUUAGAAAAACUUAGAAAAUUAGAAAACACAAAAACAUUAGAAAGUUUUUGCAGCAGAAAAUGUACUCGAACAUAAUAAAAAUCAUAAUGAUCUCAUUUCCAUAUUGGAACACUUUAACUAUAAGAAUAUAGAUGGAAUUCUUGCCCAAUAUGGCAAAAUUCAAUUAGUCCCUUGGCAAAGUACAGAUGACACGAUACAAUUUUGGUCAGAAGUACUGACUUAUAAAGAUGCUGGCAAAAACAAGCCUUUUGAAGAAAUCGCUUUAUUUGCCAUUGGCAUUUUAAGUCUACCGUGGUCAAAUGCUGCUAUUGAACGUGUAUUCAGUCAAAUGAAUAUUGUUAAGACCAAGCUAAGGAACAAAAUGACCGUUAAAUCCUUAAACUCAAUAUUAAAUAUAAGAUAUGGAUUGCGCCGUCAUGGAAAAUGUUGUCACAACUAUCAAUUACCGGAGAAAUAUUUAAAUUUAAUACGUUCCAGCGAUAAAUAUACCGAUUCAAGCAAUAGCGAAUUGGAUGAAAUAAUAACACAAUUAUAAAUGUA
Drosophila miranda is the source of this 1044-nucleotide long non-coding RNA. RefSeq lists it as uncharacterized. The transcript is spliced from 3 exons. The record is from RefSeq and is a predicted model, not a curated record. Lineage: Eukaryota; Metazoa; Arthropoda; Insecta; Diptera; Drosophilidae.